Molecule: ribosomal RNA, 252 nt
Filed under: uncultured bacterium
Lineage: Bacteria
Description: partial 16S ribosomal RNA
Rfam family: Bacterial small subunit ribosomal RNA
Source: RNAcentral
ACGGAGGGGGCUAGCGUUGUUCGGAAUUACUGGGCGUAAAGGGCGCGUAGGCUGCCAUGUGUGUCAGGUGUGAAAUCCCAGAGCUUAACUCUGGAACUGCUUCUGAAACUGCAUGGCUUGAGUGAGUAAGAGGCGGACGGAAUUCCGAGUGUAGCAGUGAAAUGCGUAGAUAUUCGGAGGAACAUCGGUGGCGAAGGCGGUUCGCUGGUACUCUACUGACGCUGAGGCGCGAAAGCGUGGGGAGCAAACAGG